This 496-nucleotide ribosomal RNA is filed under the name uncultured bacterium. RNAcentral describes it as "partial 16S ribosomal RNA". It matches the Rfam family "Bacterial small subunit ribosomal RNA", at positions 29 to 507 of the family's 1533-position model. The record is from RNAcentral.
AUGCACGCUGGCGGCGUGCCUGAUACAUGCAAGUCGAGCGAACAGAUGAGGAGCUUGCUCCUCUGACGUUAGCGGCGGACGGGUGAGUAACACGUGGAUAACCUACCUAUAAGACUGGGAUAACUUCGGGAAACCGGAGCUAAUACCGGAUAAUAUAUUGAACCGCAUGGUUCAAUAGUGAAAGACGGUUUUGCUGUCACUUAUAGAUGGAUCCGCGCCGCAUUAGCUAGUUGGUAAGGUAACGGCUUACCAAGGCAACGAUGCGUAGCCGACCUGAGAGGGUGAUCGGCCACACUGGAACUGAGACACGGUCCAGACUCCUACGGGAGGCAGCAGUAGGGAAUCUUCCGCAAUGGGCGAAAGCCUGACGGAGCAACGCCGCGUGAGUGAUGAAGGUCUUCGGAUCGUAAAACUCUGUUAUUAGGGAAGAACAAAUGUGUAAGUAACUAUGCACGUCUUGACGGUACCUAAUCAGAAAGCCACGGCUAACUACGUG